This is a long non-coding RNA of Cyprinus carpio (common carp), 268 nucleotides long. RefSeq lists it as uncharacterized. The record is from RefSeq and is a predicted model, not a curated record. The transcript is spliced from 5 exons. Lineage: Eukaryota; Metazoa; Chordata; Actinopteri; Cypriniformes; Cyprinidae.
CGUUCUCACACUGAAAGAAGGCGGAACCUUCUACCGCUUUCAGACUCCGUACUUCUGGCCGUCAAACUGCUGGGAACCAGAAAACACUGACUAUGCGGUUUAUCUCUGUAAACGAACCAUGCAGAAUAAAGCUCGUCUGGAGUUGGCCGAUUAUGAAGCUGAGAGUUUGGCGAGACUACAGAGAGCUUUUGCACGGAAAUGGGAGUUUAUAUUUAUGCAAGCAGAAGCACAAGCGAAAGUGGACAAAAAGCGGGACAAGAUUGGAGAG